This 72-nucleotide transfer RNA is filed under the name Pyricularia oryzae. RNAcentral describes it as "tRNA-Pro". The record is from RNAcentral. Lineage: Eukaryota; Fungi; Ascomycota; Sordariomycetes; Magnaporthales; Pyriculariaceae.
CGGAUUAGGGCCGGGCGGUUAGGCAUCUCAUUUGGGUUGGGAACCAGUUGUGUUCGAUUCACGAUAAUCCGA